GGGGAUGUAGCUCAGUGGUGGAGUGCCUGCCUGGCAAGCACAAGGCCCUGGGUUUGAUUCCCAGCACCA
This 69-nucleotide transfer RNA is filed under the name Fukomys damarensis (Damara mole-rat). It matches the Rfam family "tRNA". From Rfam's summary of the family: Transfer RNA (tRNA) molecules are approximately 80 nucleotides in length. Their secondary structure includes four short double-helical elements and three loops (D, anti-codon, and T loops). The record is from Rfam by way of RNAcentral. Lineage: Eukaryota; Metazoa; Chordata; Mammalia; Rodentia; Bathyergidae.